CUACUUUCAGAGAUGCUUUGGUGCCUUCGGGAACUCUGAGACAGGUGCUGCAUGGCUGUCGUCAGCUCGUGUUGUGAAAUGUUGGGUUAAGUCCCGCAACGAGCGCAACCCUUAUCCUUUGUUGCCAGCGGUUCGGCCGGGAACUCAAAGGAGACUGCCAGUGAUAAACUGGAGGAAGGUGGGGAUGACGUCAAGUCAUCAUGGCCCUUACGAGUAGGGCUACACACGUGCUACAAUGGCGCAUACAAAGAGAAGCGACCUCGCGAGAGCAAGCGGACCUCAUAAAGUGCGUCGUAGUCCGGAUUGGAGUCUGCAACUCGACUCCAUGAAGUCGGAAUCGCUAGUAAUCGUAGAUCAGAAUGCUACGGUGAAUACGUUCCCGGGUCUUGUACACACCGA
RNAcentral lists this ribosomal RNA (399 nucleotides) under Enterobacter sp. OOR135. RNAcentral describes it as "bacterial SSU rRNA". It matches the Rfam family "Bacterial small subunit ribosomal RNA", at positions 994 to 1393 of the family's 1533-position model. The record is from RNAcentral. Lineage: Bacteria; Pseudomonadati; Pseudomonadota; Gammaproteobacteria; Enterobacterales; Enterobacteriaceae.